Molecule: ribosomal RNA, 305 nt
Filed under: uncultured bacterium
Lineage: Bacteria
Description: partial 16S ribosomal RNA
Rfam family: Bacterial small subunit ribosomal RNA
Source: RNAcentral
ACAGCAGUAGCCACGGUAAUACAGAGGGUGCGAGCGUUAAUCGGAUUCACUGGGCGUAAAGCGUGCGUAGGCGGCUUCUUAAGUCGGAUGUGAAAUCCCUGAGCUUAACUUAGGAAUUGCAUUCGAUACUGGGAAGCUAGAGUAUGGGAGAGGAUGGUAGAAUUCCAGGUGUAGCGGUGAAAUGCGUAGAGAUCUGGAGGAAUACCGAUGGCGAAGGCAGCCAUCUGGCCUAAUACUGACGCUGAGGUACGAAAGCAUGGGGAGCAAACAGGAUUAGAUACCCGUGUAGUCCCUGUCUCUUAUAC